This 497-nucleotide ribosomal RNA is filed under the name uncultured bacterium. Its description in RNAcentral is "partial 16S ribosomal RNA". It matches the Rfam family "Bacterial small subunit ribosomal RNA", at positions 28 to 507 of the family's 1533-position model. The record is from RNAcentral.
GAUGAACGCUGGCGGCGUGCCUAAUACAUGCAAGUCGAGCGAACGGACGAGAAGCUUGCUUUUCUGAUGUUAGCGGCGGACGGGUGAGUAAUACGUGGAUAACCUACCUAUAAGACUGGGAUAACUUCGGGAAACCGGAGCUAAUACCGGAUAAUAUUUUGAACCGCAUGGUUCAAAAGUGAAAGACGGUCUUGCUGUCACUUAUAGAUGGAUCCGCGCUGCAUUAGCUAGUUGGUAAGGUAACGGCUUACCAAGGCAACGAUGCAUAGCCGACCUGAGAGGGUGAUCGGCCACACUGGAACUGAGACACGGUCCAGACUCCUACGGGAGGCAGCAGUAGGGAAUCUUCCGCAAUGGGCGAAAGCCUGACGGAGCAACGCCGCGUGAGUGAUGAAGGUCUUCGGAUCGUAAAACUCUGUUAUUAGGGAAGAACAUAUGUGUAAGUAACUGUGCACAUCUUGACGGUACCUAAUCAGAAAGCCACGGCUAACUACGUG